This 515-nucleotide ribosomal RNA is filed under the name uncultured bacterium. RNAcentral describes it as "partial 16S ribosomal RNA". It matches the Rfam family "Bacterial small subunit ribosomal RNA", at positions 28 to 523 of the family's 1533-position model. The record is from RNAcentral.
GAUGAACGCUGGCGGCGUGCCUAAUACAUGCAAGUCGAGCGAAUGGAUUAAGAGCUUGCUCUUAUGAAGUUAGCGGCGGACGGGUGAGUAACAUGUGGGUAACCCGCCCAUAAGACUGGGAUAACUCCGGGAAACCGGGGCUAAUACCGGAUAACAUUUUGAACCGCAUGGUUCGAAAUUGAAAGGCGGCUUCGGCUGUCACUUAUGGAUGGACCCGCGUCGCAUUAGCUAGUUGGUGAGGUAACGGCUCACCAAGGCAACGAUGCGUAGCCGACCUGAGAGGGUGAUCGGCCACACUGGGACUGAGACACGGCCCAGACUCCUACGGGAGGCAGCAGUAGGGAAUCUUCCGCAAUGGACGAAAGUCUGACGGAGCAACGCCGCGUGAGUGAUGAAGGCUUUCGGGUCGUAAAACUCUGUUGUUAGGGAAGAACAAGUGCUAGUUGAAUAAGCUGACACCUUGACGGUACCUAACCAGAAAGCCACGGCUAACUACGUGCCAGCCGCCGCGGUAA